GACGAAGGGGGCUAGCGUUGUUCGGAAUUACUGGGCGUAAAGCGCGUGUAGGGGGUUGUUCAAGUCAGGUGUGAAAGCCUUGAGCUCAACUCAAGAAAUGCACUUGAUACUGGAUAACUAGAGGACCGGAGAGGAUAGUGGAAUUCCCAGUGUAGUGGUGAAAUACGUAGAGAUUGGGAAGAACACCAGUGGCGAAGGCGGCUAUCUGGACGGUUUCUGACGCUAAGACGCGAAAGCGUGGGGAGCAAACAGG
RNAcentral lists this ribosomal RNA (253 nucleotides) under uncultured bacterium. RNAcentral describes it as "partial 16S ribosomal RNA". It matches the Rfam family "Bacterial small subunit ribosomal RNA", at positions 524 to 776 of the family's 1533-position model. The record is from RNAcentral.